RNAcentral lists this small nuclear RNA (23 nucleotides) under Arabidopsis thaliana (thale cress). Its description in RNAcentral is "snRNA_04409". The record is from RNAcentral. Lineage: Eukaryota; Viridiplantae; Streptophyta; Magnoliopsida; Brassicales; Brassicaceae.
GAAAAGAUAAACACUCUAUGAAU